Anopheles moucheti is the source of this 758-nucleotide long non-coding RNA. RefSeq lists it as uncharacterized. NCBI's taxonomy places the organism in Eukaryota, Metazoa, Arthropoda, Insecta, Diptera, Culicidae. The transcript is spliced from 3 exons. The record is from RefSeq and is a predicted model, not a curated record.
GGAAGCUGCUCCGUAUCUGUCGGUGGAAUUCACGUGCAAACGGAACGCGUUCGGCGAUAAAUUUCAUAAAUAAGUUUCACUAUAAAACACAACCAAAAUAGAAAUAUACAACAGUGAAUCGUGUGCAAUCGUGAGUGGUUUAGUUGAGCAAAUUAGUAAAUCGUGCACAAAGAGAGAAAAAAAAGUUCAAACAUAAUAGUGCAACGUCUCGAUCGAGUGCAAGGCCAGCGGAUAAGUGUCGGUUCGGUUCGUGUCCCGUAAUGGCAGCAGUCACAAAGUGCAAUCAACUGCAUUAGCCACAUAUGUUACGCAACGGACGAUAACUUUUUACGCCAGUAGAUAACAAAAAAAAGAAACGGAAAAAACCAAAACGAAUCUAUCUUGCAACUGACACAAUCGUAAUUUGACGUUCGAGUCCCGGGGUUUCCUCCGGGUUCGGAAGCCAAGUCCGUCCCAAGCGCCGUGGGGCGUCCCGGGUCGGCAAGCGAAGGCGAAAAAUGCAUCGGAAGAGUUCACAAUCAGACCGUCGUACGGUGGUGUGCUGUUGCCAGCCGUGAAGCUUAUCCAGGCGAUGGAAAACUUCCACCCCGGGGCGGGUGGAAUGAUACACCGGAAAUAGAACAUGAGUCACCCGGUUGCGGUUGCAGUCACGGAUACGGGACCAGGGAGGAUCCAACUAACAGUGCACAGGGCUGGAGUGAUACGUGGAGCAGUUUUCAAAAAACUCGAGUUUUAAAAUGCGCGCCAAGAAUUCCAAU